UACGUAGGGGGCAAGCGUUGUCCGGAAUCAUUGGGCGUAAAGGGCGCGUAGGCGGUGUGUCAAGUCAGGCGUGAAAGCCCCGGGCUCAACCUGGGAACCGCGCUUGAGACUGGCACGCUCGAGUUCGGGAGAGGAUGGUGGAAUUCCCAGUGUAGAGGUGAAAUUCGUAGAUAUUGGGAAGAACACCGAUGGCGAAGGCAGCCAUCUGGACCGACACUGACGCUGAGGCGCGAAAGCGUGGGGAGCAAACAGG
RNAcentral lists this ribosomal RNA (253 nucleotides) under uncultured bacterium. RNAcentral's name for it is "partial 16S ribosomal RNA". It matches the Rfam family "Bacterial small subunit ribosomal RNA", at positions 524 to 776 of the family's 1533-position model. The record is from RNAcentral.